Molecule: ribosomal RNA, 493 nt
Filed under: uncultured bacterium
Lineage: Bacteria
Description: partial 16S ribosomal RNA
Rfam family: Bacterial small subunit ribosomal RNA
Source: RNAcentral
AUUGAACGCUGGCGGCAUGCUUUACACAUGCAAGUCGAACGGUAACAGGUUAAGCUGACGAGUGGCGAACGGGUGAGUAAUGCAUCGGAACGUGCCCGGUCGUGGGGGAUAACGCAGCGAAAGCUGCGCUAAUACCGCAUACGAUCUGAGGAUGAAAGCGGGGGACCGAAAGGCCUCGCGCGAUCGGAGCCGCCGAUGUCAGAUUAGGUAGUUGGUGGGGUAAAGGCUCACCAAGCCAACGAUCUGUAGCUGGUCUGAGAGGACGACCAGCCACACUGGGACUGAGACACGGCCCAGACUCCUACGGGAGGCAGCAGUGGGGAAUUUUGGACAAUGGGCGAAAGCCUGAUCCAGCAAUGCCGCGUGCAGGAAGAAGGCCUUCGGGUUGUAAACUGCUUUUGUACGGAGCGAAAAGGUCUCCUCUAAUACAGGGGGCUCAUGACGGUACCGUAAGAAUAAGCACCGGCUAACUACGUGCCAGCAGCCGCCGUAA